GGGGGGGGGGGAAGGUAGGGUGGAAGACUCCCCCCAGUUUUGUAGUAAUGAAAACAUAUUUGGUUUGUAUACUGUUCAUAUGUUUCAUAAAAAUGCCGAUCACUCUCCUGAAGAGAGGAGAAACGGAGCGAUUGUGUGCGUCCCACCCUUCCCCCUGCGCUGCCCUUUGCGCUCCUAUGACGCAGCACUUAUGGAAGUCGGAGCUGUGCUCGGCUCCUUCUGCCUUUCGCACGGCGCAUCCUCCCCUCUCUUCCCACUCGUAAAAAAUAAUAAUAAUAAUAAUAAUAAUAACUUGCAAAUUUAUUUCAGUGGAAAUUUGGAAAAAACGCUAUUAGGAAAGAAAAGCACAACCCUCCUAACAUACAGCACACACCAACUCCAAUGCUCCCCCACCCCCCGAAGAAAAAAACCCUUUUUCCUUUGGUGCAUAUAUUUUUCCAAGGUCACCUCGGAGGCUUUUCCUAGUUGGCCAUUAAAACAACACCAAAAAAAAAAAAGCCUGCCCCAAGAAGCACAUGAAGCCAUUGCUGUGGCUUGGAACGCUUCCCUGUGUACAGAUGCCACUGGAGAAGCAACGGGGCGGGGGGGGGUGCUGAUAUUUUUCCAAGACUUUUUCUCUCACCAGAGGAGGAGGAUGAAGAUGGAGUGAUGAGUGAGGUUCCGUUUGUCCGGCAGCGUGAGUCACUCAGCAGCAGUUUCCGAUACACACUAUUUUUUUUUUUCUUUCCAUUACAGAAUUUGGUGUCAUUUAUUCCUUCCUCCUCCUCAAGAAAAAAAAAGAAAAUGAAAUAAAAAAUAAAAUCCCGCUACCGUUAUGUCUGAUUUAUUCUGGGAACUCGUUUGAGGACCCACCAAACGUGGUGGGGGAAGGGUGAUGUGAAACACAAUCCAAAAUAUAAUCGGCUCUGGAAGCUUUUAAAGAGACUCCUUUAAGGCCAUGCCAAACCUUAAAGAAGGAAAAUACUUCCACUAAAUCCCUCCCACCAUGAAUGGGAUCCUGUAUGUCUGAGGCUUUUUAUUGGCUGGGUGAUGGGGUUUUUUUUUGCUGUUGUUGUUUAUUUGUUUUUGUUUUUUUAUAUCAAAGAUGUUACUCUUUCAAAUAGGGUCUGAGUUCUGUGGCUUUUCAGCAGGCACUGAAUUCUUGCUCCUGGAGCAUGCAGUGAUCUGACACAGCCCUCCCCUACAGUGAGUCGGGUUCUCAUGCUAAGAUCUGGCUCCUGGAGCUUGAGCUGUUGUUUUUUUUCUGGAAGUUGUUUUUUCCCCUCUUCACCCUUUAAAAACAAAACUAAACAGCCUUUUAUAAGCCCUUAGAAGGGGAAAAAAAAAACGAAACAAAAACAAAGCCAGCAGCCAGCCAGCACCGGGAGGUGAGACAGGAGAAGGCUCCAUCAGCAGGGACAUCAUCGUCACAGAGCCAAGACAACCCAAUCACCAGUUUUAUAAGCCAUGUGUGGACAUGAGUGAACAUCUUGACCCUUAUUUCCUCUUCAAGUAACCAUACUUAGUCUUGCUUCACAUCUCGGAUGGGCAAUCCCGAGCUGUUGUUCUGUGCCUACUCCGUGUACCUUCUGACAGAGGUGGAUCAGGCUUUAAAUGCUGUUGCUACCUGUCUAGUCACUUGCACUGGCAGAAAGUAAUCUGUUCAUUAGUUUUGACGGAAGAGUAUUUUAGGGAGCUCUGGAAGCACUGUUCUAUUUUAUCUAGAGCCAGGAGGUCCUGCUGCCCUGUAGCUUCCAGCUACACUUACACUCAGAUCUGGAAAUGCCUACCACUACCAUUUCUUUCUUGCAACUAAUGGCCUUAACUCAGCCCCACGGCCUGUGCAGUACUUAAUUCUCAUUCUUUAUUCUUUCAGAUGCUACAUUUAACUUCCUCCGCUCUGUCCAAGUCAGUGUAAGCUCUAUCAGUCCACCCUGUGCAAUGAGAGUAAACAGGAAAACUCAUCAGCAGGGAAAAUGGCUGGGAGCUCGGCUGGAGCAAACUACACUUUGUCUGAAUCCAGGCAUACUUAGGAGCCUAAAAAAGGACCUUUCUUCAUUGACUAGGAGGUCAAAGACCUCCUGGCAUCCUGUCUCGAACAGCCUCAUUCUUCACAUGCCAUAAGCAACUUCUCUUCCGCAUUUCAACUUCUUCUAGCACAAUCUCACCCAUAACUGGUAGGGCCCAUCCUUGUUUCGGUGACUCUUCUUCUCAUAUGGACUGCAGAGCCAGACAAUAACCAGGGCACCCUGACAGUGUUGUCUGUGGCUUCUCAUAGGGGACAGCUGCAGUUCAAGUAUUUUAUCACUGUUCGUGCUGCUUUCCCUCGAGGAUCACAUGUUCAUGGACUGCACCAGGAGGUCUGAGCAAAUGGCUGCAGCAGAAGGGAGUUGGCUUCACCAGACCUUCCCUCUCUGGGCGUGAGGUCACUACAGAACGUGGUGCUUCACCUGUUCAGCUCACCAAGCAGCCCCUGACCAGGCCUCGUGUCAUGUGCCACGCUGGUGCCUGACUGCUGUUUUCUGCUUGGCCAUUUGUAAAACAUUCGGUCAUUUAGGGCUACAAAACAAUCUUGGAGACCCCACGAGAAAUACACCCACUCCAUUCUGAUUUCCUGUUUACAAUUACCUUUUGGGAUGUGUUUCCAAGCCAGUUUAAUCCUUUUACUCUUCCACAUUGAUUUUGAAUCAUUCUAGUUUAAGUAUUUUGAGUACCAAGACAAAUAUUUUUCAUGAGUCUCAAACCACAAGUAUCUUAUUGACCAUAUUUUUAAUUUCAUCACAAAUAAUCCCAAGUCUGGCUUGACGGGAUCCAUCUUCCAUAAGGUACCAGGCGCCUCCUGAUUAAGAAUGAGUCUCAUGAAAGCAGUCAUUUAGUGGUGUUUCGAGGCAGCUCUGAAAGGCAUCGCUUCAGAGCUCCUACCCCACAGUCAAAAAGGCUUGUAACCCCAUCCAAGAAUGCAACUCAAACUCUGGAAUAAAACGGUGCUCAUCCAGCUUUACAUUUCUCAUGCAUUAGGUUUCAGUAGUUAGCAAAACAUGAUUGCCAUUUCCCAAGUGCACGCAAACAUUAUUUAUUAAAGGAAAUUGGAGUCCCCUCCCUUAAUAGCCUAAAGCCUAAUAAAGCACAACCCAAACAAAACCCAGAGUACUCAAGUUCUGCUGAACUCUGAGCACUGCCACACUUGCCUGCAGGUUUGUAGUUCAAAAUGCACAACAGAAACUGAGUGGCAAAUUCUCUGCACGCAGGAGCAGUGCGGGAUUCUCCAUAAGGACUGUUUGCAUCAUAAUACUUGGUGGAUUUUCUUCCCUGUUUAACAAAAGUUAUGACUCAAAGCUCCAGCAUGACCCAGCAGAAUGUGUUUUUUGAAUCUGUGUAAGAACCCUAUUUAAACAUUGUAAGUUGAAAGGGAAGAAAAAAGCCAACCUCACACCAGGUUUUCUGUGCCAAACCUCACCAUAUAGACAUGUGCAAUUAUGGAACUUCCUGAAAUAUAUUUUUGCUAGAAAGAGAAAUGGAUGAAAGUUACACGGGACUCUAAAGAGCCUCAGGAAAGGAUACAGAAUCAUAACCAAAUAACCCACUGAGUGGGGAAAGAAAACCACAGUGCUCAUUUCAGGUGGCAGUUGAAGUCUGAGCUCUCAAAUAUGUAUGAUAAAGGAGGUAUCGACAUCCAACACAUGCCAGCAUGUGUUUUUGAGGCACUGAUUACACUGGGAGGCAACACGCCUUGCUGCAGAUCCAGUGUUACUGCCAUGAACCUGUCCAUUCAUUCCCAGCAAAAAUACUUUUUUUUUCCCUUUCUUUUUUCUUGUUGUUUUCAGUAGCGUGUUCUAACCCCAGCCUCUCUGACCUCCUCUUAAAAUGUCAGCACUUCUGGUCAAGUGCUCAGCAUCACCAGGAGAGAGCUGGAAACUCUCCCAGCGCCAGCGCCCACAUCUCACCCCCUGCAGGGCCCUGGGACUGGCAGGAUUUCUUCAGCCCUCAGUUGUGUUCCAAUGUGCUCACUCACACAGUUGUUUAUAUCAUUUUUUUUUGUAAGGAUAGGGCUGGGUUUUUUUUUUUUUUUCCUCCUCUGAUCCUCAUGAACCUUAAUUAUGAAUCCAAGGUCAUUAUCAGCGAUGUCAAUUAUACAAUGGCUGAGCAGCUGCUCCCCCUGUUGCUGGCCUAAUAGUGCCAUGUUGAAGUAGACAGCAGAAUUUCUUGUGCCAUUGAAAAUUUGCUAUAUCAUGAGUUUCCUUUCAAUCGCAAAAGCAGAAAAACAGCUUGAGUACUUUUCCUCCUACAUCUUCAUUUCAAGCUGCUUUUACCGUCCUCAGAACAUCCUUCAGCAUCUCCUGCCUUAAAAACAUAACCCAAAGGGAAUAAAGGAGAAUUUAACAAAGAACAAUUUUUCCCAGAUGGUACCCAAAGUCUUCUGCAAACACAAAGGUAUGAACUGCUAUAAAAUAAGCCCUAAUGGAGAUUUUGGCUGUGGGAGCAUGAGGCGUAUGGCCAUUCACAUGUUAGGAAUUGCUGUAUUCAGUGCUGAAACACAACUGCUUCGGGGUGAGAUCUCAGCUUGACAGUGCAGAGCAGCAACAGAUAAUGUUGGAGUACAGAAAGCAGGGUGAUAUUUAGCAUGCAACCGAAAGGCCCCUUUCUUCACCUUGAUGUAUUUUAUAACAGUUUAGAUAACCGAAGUGAGGUAGCCCAACAGCAAACUAUCACAGUUAUCAGCAAUUUCCUCUUCUGUGCACGGGGUGAGGAGUGUGGUGUGCCACAUCCCACCACGUAGGAAGUGCUAACAAGUGCUGACUCGUUCAUGGCAGGCACCGUAUAGCUAGCGAAUACCAAGAGACCCAGCUCUUCCCCUUUCGAUCCUUCACUUGUUUCCCUUCCUUCCUCAUUGCAGAAGACGCAGGCAGGUGGUUGGAUUCACACGGGGUGACCGCCUCUGCGCCUUCCUUAGCAUCACGUCACACACAGGCACUGCUGGGAGAUGCCCAUUUGUCAGAUGUAUGGUUUGUGGAGGGAUCUGCUUCAGUGUCUCUUCUAUGUAAAGCAACACUGACAUGGUGUUAUACAGAGGAACGAUGGUGGUACAUCGAAUGCUCAUAGUUGUAUCUCUCUUCUACUGAUGAACAACUUUCCACCUCUUCCUCCUAACCUCCUUCCUUCCCAUGCCCGAUUUCUACCUUGCAAAACUCCUGCUGAGGUCUGGGAGAAAAAUCGGGCUUCUCUUUAUUAUUAUUCCCAGCAAGGAAAACUGAUGGAUCCAUUUAUCAUCUUGUUGAUGCUUGCACAAUCCUACUGCUGUCCCUGUCUUUGCUGUGCCCCCUCUACUGUACCAAUGAGGGUAGAAAUCAAAUUAAAAAAGCUUGCUUUUGUCAGUGCAGCCAGCAGCUAUGACUCAGAACACAGGGAGCCCGCAGAUUUGGUGAGUAAGAUGGAGCUUCUCCCCACUGUCCCCCUCCCCUUUGUUAAAAAUAGUCAUGUUAGAGAACAGAACUUCAAAGAAUGUGACCGUAGGAUUGGGGAUUUGUGCUGCAGACACCUUUUUGGUUGACUCCGGUGACAGAUGAGGCUCUCGGCACUGCCAGUUUUGCACGGUCUAAACAUUUCCAGAAGCUUAAGCACCUCUCAGGGUUUGCACAUCUGGGCUUUAACCAUGCGAGAUCCAGAACUCUCCAUGUCUUCAGACUUGGAGAACUUCCUGCUUAGGCCAGGGGGAUGCUGUCAAAAUAGGCUUCUUUACCGAGUGACUCAGUGCUGCUUUCAGGCCCUGCCAGAAACCAAGUAGAGAGGCAUGAGGAAAACAAACAGAAGUUACUGAAGCAUUUCAGAGUUUUCAGAAAAGUUUGGUUCAGCUACAAUUCCAGUAAAGCUCCGAGAAGGAUGAAGCAGGAAAAUAUUUCCUAACCAAAUUUCCCAUGCACAGGCUCUUAGUAGACAAGCAUGUGUGAAUUUUACAACAGCUCUGCAUUCCUGGUCAGGACCUGCGAGGCUCUGUAUCCAGACAGACGAAGGGAAGGAUGAUGCACACAUAGAACGCAUGGAAAAACGCCCUGUAAAUACCAGCUCCAGUUUUGCCCUCAUAUCUGCUUCUCCAGCAAGAAGGCUUCCCUGGAACUGCAUGUUUUCCAGAUGAAAAUCCUGCUUUUUUUUAAUUAUUUUUUUUUAAUUUUAGGUAUUAUAAACACUUUACAGAAGAGCCUGGCAGACACUGAGGGCUGCACACACACAAACAUGCCUGCUGGGAACUCUGCUCCAGGAAUGCUCAGCUCGGUUCUGGCCAGCCUCUCGUAUAAUACAAAUAGUAGAAUGCCAGUUUUUAUACCAGUUUUGAAAAGAAAACAGCCCGAAUAUAUUUGAGAGUGAAACCCAAAGCUGAAUUAGCCCUCAGUUCGGCAAAAAAAAAAAAAAAAAAAACCCAAAAAACACAGUUUAAAGUUAAACCCCAGAGACAUGCUCACAAAUGAGUCACGUGUCAGAGCUAUCUUGGAUUCCGGUCUGUAUUCACACACUCCAUCAUAGGUUGGUUGUCAUUAAUGUCAGUUUAACAGUGGAGAAAAAGGAAAACCAUCUGAUAUAUUGCCAGCUUCUUUCCCCUGCCUCCUCCUGGAAAGGGCACCGUAGCUCAAAGCAGGGCAGCAAAGCAAUAAUAGUCACCCCCAAGGGGUAGAAGGACGACCUAAACGUCGAUAUAGCACGUAAGACAUUAAUUUCACCUAAUCAGGGCCACAGAGCACCAAAAUGUCUUCUUGAGGACGAUACAGUUGUUUUGUAACACCACUGGACAGCACAGGGAAGCUCAAGUCCCUCAGAGGGCUGCUACGAUGCUGUUAUGCUCUGAUAUGGUUUAAUUUUUAGGUAGUCCCGUGUGGAGCCAGGACUUGGAUUCGAUGAUCCCUGUGGGUCCUUCCCAGCUCAGAUACUCUAUGGUUUUACUUUAACCGUUUAUAAUUUCUUUUCAAUAUAACUCUCCACUUUACGGGGUUUGUGAUGCUGCGAUUUGAAAUAAUUCAGCUUACUAUUUAUUCUUAAAUCAUGCAUUUCAUACACACGUACACACAAGCUUAAACCCAUCUUCACGGGAACUCCCCAGUCUUUAAAAUUAACAAGAAAGCCACAAAACCAAACCCGGAGCUCUAGCUUGCAAAACCCCCACGAGAUGGCUCUGUGGAUGGGUGCAGCUAUGGCAGCUUCGGGUGCACCCUGGGGUCCAGAUACCUCCUGCCACCAACACCACAACAUCAUGAGGCACAUGCAGCUGCAAAGGAAGGGUGGCCACAUCCCCCCAGGUUUAUUAUCUUGAUCGAUAGCCGAGCUGCAGGUUGGUUAAUGCAGGCAGAUGGUAACCAGUGAUAACGUAUCUUAACUGCAAGCCGAUGUCUUGAAGCACAGCUGUGCACACGGUUUCCCUUAAUUUCUGCAUACAGCAGGCCUAUGCUGUUUUGUUCCAUCUUCUCUGUUACUCGGAGCAGAAGCAGCAUUGUUCCCCUCCCGUUUUAAAAAAUUAGUUUCCCGAAAUUCAAACUUAAUAAAGUUAAUGAAGUGACUUUUAAGGUUCCUGAAAAAUCCACCUUACGUGCAGAGUUCAAGGGUUUACAAAUGUAAGGGAAUGGUUCGGCUGUCAUCUUUCUUAAGCAGGACAAGAGAAGUCAACUCCAGUGUUUGGUAUAAAAUAGAGCCUCUGAUUUACCCUUGCACCAACUUACUAGCACAGUAAGGCCAAUUUAGGCAGCUUCCUACAGACCACAGAACCCAGUGCAAACAGGCAACAAAAUCAGACCAGUUCUUCAGGCACGAUUCCGACCCAGCCAUAAAAUAGCAACCACGAGUUUUGGUCGGUGCUCCUAAGAUCACACCUCCCUUAUCAAACUCACAGGAGAUCCAGAAGACAACUUCAAUGCGUUCUCCCAAUUAAACAGCUUGUUUGCAUCUAAUGCAGUGUUUAUUGACUCCUGGGCCUGUAUUGAUUCUGAAUAGGCUACAGCUAAGGUUUAGUAAAUGCCUUGGAGAUAAAUCAGCAUGCAGGUAAUAAACUGCAGAUCGCAUAAGCAAACAUUACUUAAUUAUAUUCCUAUUAAUAUAUUGAGUCUGUAAUGAAUUUUUGAGGCAUUUAAUUAUCAAUUUGACAAGAUAAUCUAGGGGUAGUUAAUGAUGGACCAGUAAAUUGUUAAAAAGAAAAACCUGCAGAUGCUUAAUAAGUCUCCUAACUGACAGCGAAUUAACUUGCUUUAGCUGUCUGGUUAAAUAGACAGCAGUUAAUUACAGAGCGCUUAAACAGUCUCACAAUUUUAAUAUAUAACCCUCUUUGCUGUGUGGUAACCAUGCAGCUGGAGACACGGGCUCUUCUCCAUGUAUUUCCCUCAGACAGCUGAAUUACUUCGCUGUUGCAACCACUGACUUCAGUGAGAUUCAGCAGUUGGGACCUUAUGAUUUGCAAAUGCAAUGGACCGCUCCUUCUCUUCCGUGAUCAGAGCUUGCUGCCUUCUGUCCCUUCGGGGUUUGCACCAAAAGGGAAAUGUUUUUUGCUCAUAGGAAUGGUGACACUUUGGAAAUGGAAGUGGUCACCAUAGAGCUCCAUGUGGCCCCGGGUCAGGCAGAAACAGCCUGGCCAGCCGUGGAUGUCUGAACGUUGCUAUUGAGAUACUCGUGUAUACCCAAGAAAUGCUUCACCCUGCGCCGACGUGCAGCUCCUUCUUUGGAUAAAAUCUGACACUUCACUGCUUCAGCACUGACUCAUACAAAGAUGAUCACUUGCCAUAGAGUUUUGGGAAUGUUAAAAAGGGAAAGAAAAAACAAAAAGCAACAUAGAAAAGGCAAACGAGCCAGCAAAGGCUGUACAGUUCAUUACAGAGGUUAGUGAGCGAGGGUAACAAGCAGUAAUAGCUGAGCCACCUUCUCUAGGAAUAGCCCCGAGCUGCACUGAGGAAGCACAGCUUCCCUGAGCUGAGGAAGUCUUGGAAAUGGUUGGUUUGAAAUGUAAAACACUGCUGAUAAUCCCGGGUUGAGCAUGAAUAAAACAUUGUAGAGCCUUAAUCAGCCGGAGAAAACACACGCAGAUCCUUAAAGGAAAACUCAUUUCAGGAAGUGGAAGCGAUGUUGUUUGACUCCAGGAGUUCAGAGGCCCCAAGUCAUCAGUCUCUCCUAUCAUUAGCAUAAAGAGAAGUUUUUUGAGUGCCAGUUCUUUUAAUUUAUUUACUUUGGGGAGCCGUUAAGGAUGAAGCCUUUUUCCCCUCAGUAAUUAUGCAGCGUAAAAGCCCUCUCUCCAAAAAUAAAUAAAAACAUUCAUGCAAUAACACAAAUCCAGGAAGAAGGGCCACCAAAAAUUCACCAAAUGCUAUGAGACUGGAAAACUAAAGCAGGGUCCCUUACCCAGACAGAUAUUUGCAUGGCAGGGCAAUAACAACAGCAAUGUCAUUCUGCUCUUAAAGUUACUAGCUGUGGCAGUGGUAAGUAGCAGGGUUAGCAGGCAGAGUCCUUCUGUAAUGAUCUAGUACCUGAUCUAGUGGGUGACAAUCCUGCCCAUGAGAAGGGUGGUCUUCGAGGUCUCUUCCAACCCAAGCCAUACUUAUGAUUCUGUGAUUGCAGUCUCAUUAAAGUAAGAAUUCGGGGAGACAAACCCUCAGUCUGGGAACGAAUAAAUCACCAUAAGCACUGGAGUCUGUGUCCCCAGCUUCAGUUAUGUCAUGCUUUUCAGAGUUAGGCCAGGAGAGGCUCAGCAAGGUUCCUGAAGGGCACGGUCCUUAGGCGUCAUUCUCCAGCAUCACCCAAGUGAGAGGAAAAGGUUUCUGUCACCUCUGCUGUGUCAGCUGGGCUGACAGCGGCUUCAACAUCAGAGGCAGCCUUUUUGGUCACAAAGGACAACACCACCUUCAGCUCAAGCAGAUGGAACCCAAGAGGGGACCAUGAACCCAGCUGCAGUAGGUAUAUGGCAAAGCUCAGCAUCCCUGUGAGUCCGGUGCCGCUUUUGCAUUGAGCGCUACUUAACACUUCCAGCAGAUCUGUUCUGCCUAAGAAAGGCAAGAAAAGCCAUGAGGCAACCUUACCAGACUCAUCCCUUUUUAUAUCAACCUCUGAGCAAUGGGCUCCCUUCUACAGGCACCUUGUCACUGGUUGGGUACCCACGAGACCAUUCCCCAAACAGGGCACACAGGGGAAGCCAGGCUGAGUUUAACCCCUUGCUUACUGGAAGAGAAAGCAGUGCUGUCCCUGUGCCAACACCGAGCUAGCAGGGCUGCGCUCUGGACAGUGCUCACUCUUGCAGAGCCCAGUUGUUUCAGGCAUGCCCUCAAGGAAGGAUUUCGGCAGAAAUGGCAGCUAUACCUCCAGCUCUGCAUGUGAAGCAGCACAUGUAUCACCAAUGUGCAGCGGUGUUUUUCCAAAGCCACUUUCGGCCCCAGCAACCCUUGGGAUGUGCAGAAGCAGCCCCUCACCUCUCCUCCCCACCAGGGUCGAGUUCUGCAGGCUCUGCCCAUCCCUCUCCUUUUGCACUGCCGGUUGCCGGGGUUUCUCUUUGGCUGCUGUUUUUGGGCCCAGCUGCAGGAGGGCUCUGCUCCAACACAGGCUCAGCUGGGCUAGCACAAUAGGAAAACAAAAGCCCGCUCGCUUGGGAUCUGAGCCUUUUCAGCCCCGUUUCCUUUUCCGAUGCUUUCAUUUCCUCCGAGCAAAACGCUGCUGAAAGGAGAGCAGUGUGGCGGUAGCGGCUGCAGCGGGCAUAGGGGCUCGGGUGUCGCUUCAUCUGGGUCAGUGAUUUCAAAGGGGCCUUCGCUCAGCUCCUCCCUUAGAAAUCGUAUCUCUUCUAAGAAGGCUUUCAAAGAUGCUAAGCUGCGAAUUGAGCCCGCUUUUUUUUUUUUUUUUUUUGGCGUUUGCUCCGCGGUCCGCAAAGCACCCGAGGAAAAGCACCUGGCGAAGUCAGGGAGGACCCGGGCUAUCCGCUCGUUGGCUCAUAGGGUAUAGGGUGGGAAAGAGGAGGAGGGGACGAGGGCGGUAUUACGGCCACUGCAAAUGGCCGCAGGGCGGCGAGGAGCGGCCCCGGAGAGCCCCGGGCCGUGCACCUGCUCCAGCCCCGGAGAGGCAGCAGAGGGCGCUCGGGGAGCGGCGGUGCGGCCUCCCCCGGCCGUGCGGGGAGGGGUCACGGAGCAGAACGGGGCUGCCGGAGCUUGGCGUCGCUCGAGGUUGUCCCAGCCUUUCCCCAGGCUCCGUUUGCUGGGUAGCUGACGACAGGACGCCCUCCAGGUGCCUUCGCGCUGCGGUGUUGUCGCCACAAAGCACCGCGAGUGUCCUGCUCGCAGGGAAUGGCACCGAAUGUCAUCUUCAGGUCAGCAUGCUGUCCUCAUGCAGGACCCAAUGCACUCCUAGGCUGUGGUUCAUUUCCGCCUUGUCUCGCUUGGCUCACCUGGAGAGUGGAGGUGGUGCUGUGCUGUAACAGCAACUGGCUGUUUUCUGAG
Gallus gallus (chicken) is the source of this 11417-nucleotide long non-coding RNA. The record is from Ensembl. NCBI's taxonomy places the organism in Eukaryota, Metazoa, Chordata, Aves, Galliformes, Phasianidae.